Molecule: long non-coding RNA, 370 nt
Organism: Bos taurus (domestic cattle)
Lineage: Eukaryota; Metazoa; Chordata; Mammalia; Artiodactyla; Bovidae
Source: Ensembl
CUGUGCAGUACAUUCCAAUUUGAGCAGCCUGGGGGCAGGCGGGUAGAGGUUAACAUAGUGACUGAACAGAAGUUAAGCAAGAAGUAGAAGAAAAUGAGCCGUAAUACAGAGGAUUCGAGCCUGCCUGGGUGAGGCUCCAUUCAGCACAAUGGAACAGUUACUACUUCCUCCCGUUAAAUCUUAAUACCACAGCAAAGUUGACAUGGAGAGCAAACUGAAGACCAAGUGAGGUUGAACGAGCCUGACCUGACUUGACCCCUAGGAUCAAGGCUAGACUGAAGCCGUGAGCACCCGGCAGAUUAAUGAGUUGAUGUCCCUUCAACUUGUUAGUUUUGAAAUAUUUGUUCAACACUUAUCUGGUAUUCCAUGG